CAAACUGGGAUUAGAUACCCCACUAUGCUUAGCCCUAAACCAAGACAAUCAAGUUAACAAGAUUGUUCGCCAGAGAACUACUAGCCACAGCUUAAAACUCAAAGGACUUGGCGGUGCUUUAUAUCCCUCUAGAGGAGCCUGUUCU
Molecule: ribosomal RNA, 145 nt
Filed under: Talpa europaea (European mole)
Lineage: Eukaryota; Metazoa; Chordata; Mammalia; Eulipotyphla; Talpidae
Description: partial 12S ribosomal RNA
Source: RNAcentral